Non-coding RNA from Pseudomonas sp. 1 R 17, 70 nucleotides. The record is from Rfam. NCBI's taxonomy places the organism in Bacteria, Pseudomonadati, Pseudomonadota, Gammaproteobacteria, Pseudomonadales, Pseudomonadaceae.
GGCGCAGGACUUGCUAAGUAAUCACCACAGGUAACCAACGGCGGUUGCCCCUUCACGACAAAGACGUCGC